GCCGGGGUGGCGGAACAGGCAGACGCAGGGGACUUAAAAUCCCCCGAUCGAAAGAUCGUACCGGUUCGAUUCCGGUCCUCGGCACCA
Molecule: transfer RNA, 87 nt
Filed under: Centipeda flueggei
Lineage: Bacteria; Bacillati; Bacillota; Negativicutes; Selenomonadales; Selenomonadaceae
Also listed under: 12 other names
Description: Selenomonas flueggei tRNA-Leu(taa)
Rfam family: tRNA
About the family: Transfer RNA (tRNA) molecules are approximately 80 nucleotides in length.
Source: RNAcentral